AAAUGAAAGUGAAAGGGUUUAUACUGGACAGAUCUGUCAGGACCUGCACGGGUGAUUACAUCAGACAGUCCGUGUUCAAUACAAAGUAAGAGAAAAGAGGAGGUUCUGAGGAAGACUGCAGAAACAGAGGAGGAAAUCUACUGUAAACAUGUCGGGGUGGUGGCCUUGGAGCAAUACAGAAGACGCCAGUACAUCACAGGGAAAGCUGAAGUUCCGCCGUUCUGGGGAUGAAAGCCAACAUCGUUUGGCUACAGAAUUUAUAAAACAAUUAACAGAAAAAAUACCCAGCCUGACCGAGGUGUCUGCAGAAGAAGAAAAAGAGGAUAUCUUUCUGGUGUUCUCUCCGAAUGGAACUAACAGGAAUUUACCAGAAACCAAGCCUAGCGUUCGAGUGGUUCUCCGUGACAUUUACCCAGAGGACUCUGAACUGGACAGCAGCAGCAGCAGCAGCAGCAGUUCACAGGGAAAAAAUACACUGACUGUGGAAUUUUGGUCCCAAGACGGUAUCAGUAUACCAGAUCUGGAUACAGUAUCGGAGUGGAUAAACAGUCAGGUAUUUAAACAUUUAUCUAACAGUAAUAAACAGUGAAGACAUUUAUAGAUGUAGUAGUAUAACUGCCUGGCUAAAAGCCCCAGCUAAGCCCCUCCAGCAUGUGUUGCUAUUUAAUUUCAGAUGCUUUAGGUCAACAUUUGUUGGUUAAGGUGGUGCGUGAGCUAAAUAUCCAGCUGGAAAAGUUUAAAUAUGCCCUUUGUUUGUCAACUGGUUAAGCUGGUCCACAUGAUAUAAAAUCAAGAAUCUUCUUCCAUACCAUCUGACCUGAUCAAUAUGUUUUCCUCUAAUCGGUCUGAGAGGAUAGCUUAUUGAUUUUUUUAAGGGAAAAUGCAUUCAAACAUUUUACAAUUCAACUUGUAAAUGUUAUUGAUUCUCCAGAAUCAUGAUCACUUUUAAGAGACAGUAUUACAAUAAUAAAACAUUUCUUUCCUCCUGCA
Molecule: long non-coding RNA, 990 nt
Filed under: Astyanax mexicanus (Mexican tetra)
Lineage: Eukaryota; Metazoa; Chordata; Actinopteri; Characiformes; Acestrorhamphidae
Description: lncRNA (ENSAMXG00005003037.1)
Source: RNAcentral